GAUGAUCAGCCACACUGGGACUGAGACAUGGCCCAGACUCCUACGGGAGGCAGCAGCAAGGAAUAUUGGGCAAUGGGCGAAAGCCUGACCCAGCGACACCGCGUGGAGGAAGAAGGCCUUCGGGUUGUAAACUCCUUUUCUCGGGGAAGAAUAAUGACGGUACCCGGGGAAUAAGUCUCGGCUAACUACGUGCCAGCAGCCGCGGUAAUACGUAGGAGGCGAGCGUUAUCCGGAUUUACUGGGCGUAAAGCGGGCGUAGGCGGCUUGCCAAGUCCGAUGUGAAAUCUCCCGGCUAAACUGGGAGGGUGCAUUAGAUACUGGUAGGCUAGAGUGCAGCAGAGGAAAGCGGAAUUCCCGGUGUAGUGGUGAAAUGCGUAGAUAUCGGGAAGAACACUAGUGGCGAAGGCGGCUUUCUGGGCUGUUACUGACGCUGAGGCCCGAAGGCGUGGGUAGCAAACAGGAUUAGAUACCCUGGUAGUCCACGCAGUAAACGAUGGAUACUAGGUAUGGGGGGUAUCGACCCCCUCCGUGCCGAAGCUAACGCUUUAAGUAUCCCGCCUGGGGACUACGGUCGCAAGACUAAAACUCAAAGGAAUUGACGGGGGCCCGCACAAGCAGCGGAGCGUGUGGUUUAAUUCGAUCAACGCGAAGAACCUUACCAGGGCUUGACAUGUUGGAAGUAGUGAACCGAAAGGGGAACGACCUGUUAAGUCAGGAGCCAUCACAGGUGCUGCAUGGCUGUCGUCAGCUCGUGCCGUGAGGUGUCGGGUUAAGUCCCAUAACGAGCGCAACCCUUGUUGCCAGUUAAUUUCUCUGGCGAGACUGCCCCGCAAAACGGGGAGGAAGGCGGGGAUGAUGUCAAGUCAGUAUGGCCCUUAUGCCCUGGGCUACACACACGCUACAAUGGGUGGUACAAUGGGUCGCAAUGGAGCAAUCCGGAGCUAAUCCUUUAAAACCAUCCUCAGUUCGGAUUGUAGGCUGAAAUUCGCCUGCAUGAAGUUGGAGUUGCUAGUAACCGCAAAUCAGCACGUUGCGGUGAAUACGUUCUCGGGCCUUGUACACACCGCCCGUCACGUCAUGAAAGUCGGCAACAUCUGAAGUCGAUGAGCCAACCCAUUUAUGGGAGGCAGUUGCCUAGGGUGAGGUCGGUGAUUGGGACGAAGUCGUAACAAGGUAGCCGUAGCGGAAGCUGCGGCUG
This 1198-nucleotide ribosomal RNA is filed under the name metagenome. RNAcentral describes it as "bacterial SSU rRNA". It matches the Rfam family "Bacterial small subunit ribosomal RNA", at positions 299 to 1520 of the family's 1533-position model. The record is from RNAcentral.